UUUCCGUGGGUUCACUGCAUCACGCACAAAUCUUUCGCCUUUUACUGAAGACUUCCGUGCAGAGGACCAUUAAGAUCGGAAUUUAACCAAUUUAUUUUGCCUCGUCUUCGAAUGAGGCA
RNAcentral lists this small nuclear RNA (119 nucleotides) under Lytechinus variegatus (green sea urchin). RNAcentral's name for it is "U5 spliceosomal RNA". It matches the Rfam family "U5 spliceosomal RNA". Rfam says of the family: U5 RNA is a component of both types of known spliceosome. The precise function of this molecule is unknown, though it is known that the 5' loop is required for splice site selection and p220 binding, and that both the 3' stem-loop and the Sm site are important for Sm protein binding and cap methylation. The record is from RNAcentral. Lineage: Eukaryota; Metazoa; Echinodermata; Echinoidea; Temnopleuroida; Toxopneustidae.